RNAcentral lists this ribosomal RNA (253 nucleotides) under uncultured bacterium. RNAcentral's name for it is "partial 16S ribosomal RNA". It matches the Rfam family "Bacterial small subunit ribosomal RNA", at positions 524 to 776 of the family's 1533-position model. The record is from RNAcentral.
GACGGAGGGUGCUAGCGUUGUUCGGAAUUACUGGGCGUAAAGGGCGCGUAGGCGGCCUGGUCAGUCGGAUGUGAAAGCCCGGGGCUCAACCCCGGAACGGCAUCCGAGACGGCCAGGCUGGAGACCGGGAGAGGAGAGUGGAAUAGCCAGUGUAGGGGUGAAAUUCGUAGAUAUUGGCUGGAACACCGGUGGCGAAAGCGGCUCUCUGGCCCGGUUCUGACGCUGAGGCGCGAAAGCGUGGGGAGCAAACAGG